AGGAAAACGAGGCUGGCUGGUACUCCAGUACAGCGCAGUGUUGGGCUCCUCCUCCAUCGGUUCCAAGGAGGCCUAGGCGUGCGUGACAGACAAUCAACCGAAAACACGUCCAUGAUGAGAAACAUGCAGAGAAACAUGGAUUUGCUGCAAUGCAAUUACUGACUCGAGAAUCUAAAUGAUUCAGACAGCAAUGUGCAGAUCUCUACAACUCUUUGCAGGCUAGCAGCGUGCUUGUUGAUGAAAUUCUAUGCAGCGGGCAGGCAGCAAGGGGUCCAGUUAGAUACUCCUCCAUAAGACGUCAUUUUCAGAGCCACGACAUUGAUCCGUUCGUGGUCGCUACCCACUCCGACGGAGGCCAGGGAGCGUUUGGUUACUGGAUCUAUCCGCUGGGAGAUGGUAGCUCGGGAUAUCUUCAACCGGUUUGGAUGGCGGUCAUGUAAUAGGAUAGGCAAUUAGUUUACUUAUCUCUUUCUUGCCAGCUGGUUGUGGCGUCCUUUAUUAGGCUAGUUUUGUCUUCUAGCCUUUCUGGCUCCGUGUGAGCUACUUUUUACUUUUUUUUUGGAGACUUUGAGACCGUGUUGGAACCUAUUUAUUUGCUUUAAUAAGAUGGCUAUAUGCAUCGUUCUGAUGCAGAGGCCGGGGAAUCCCCCCUUUUCGAAAAAAAAUUUAGGCACCAUGAUAGUUUGACUAAAGAUAGGGAGGUUGCUCCUGCUGGACUAUAAUAAUUAAAUAAGGAUCCCAACUACAGUAGCUUGCAACUGAAAGUCUGCACAUGAAAAACCUUAAUGGCAGUUGUACUUUUUAUGAAGUUUAUUAAAACCUAGUGUUGAUGAUUAUUGUAUGUUAAAACAGGUUCUUGUAUGGUGCACUGAAUCUAGAGACCGUAGAAAGUUUCAUUACAUUUGCUUGUAAUUGUAGUUGCAGCUUCUAUUGAAGACGAAACAGUGCCAGAAUCUGACAAGAGCCUCGUUCGAAAACGAAGAAUCUGACAAGGCAAAGAAAAAUUACAAGUUUGCCGGGAAUGGAAAGGGAAAGCAAAACAGAGACAGAGACUGAAUUGAACAUCACAUGCAGUUGUUGUAUCGCCAAUAAAAGGCUUAAGAAGAUCCAUUUGCAAGACUGUACCCAAACUGAAAGUGUCCAGAAAGGACUAGAGUAACAGAGUGUUGACGUAUAAAUGUAUUGCCUAGUCUCUUCUAUUAGAUCGGUUUUUUGGUUGCAUUGGCUAGAGCAUGCACUUCUACACAGAGUUCUUGGCGUAUUAUUCUUUAUCACACGAUGUUUUUCUUCUAUGGAUAAAAAGUCGCUCAGAUCUGUAAGAAAAAUUAUGGGGAUCUCAAUGUAUGAUCUCACGAAUAUAGCAUCGGCUAAGACAUAAUCAAGUCUCAGUCGAUUGAGAGUUAGCAAGACUGUUCGACAUCUGAGGAGGCGUGCGUGACAAUCAACCGAAAACACGUCAAAGAUGAGGUCAUGAUGAAUGUCAAGGGUUUUUACAUCCUUGGUUUAGUCAGUAGCCUCUCUUGGCGCUUUAUCACUUUCAGAUCCUCAAGCGAGUCAUUUCAUGUUAGAGAAACGUGCAUUUUUUUUUUCUGAACCAUGCAAAGAAACAUGGGUUUGCGGUGUAAACUGGGUUGAUCUAACUGAUUCAAACAGCAAGCAAAUCUAAAUGAUUCAGACAGCAAGCAAAUCUAAAUGAUUCAAACAACAACGUGCAAAUCAAUACAACUCUUUGCAGGCUAGCAGCACUGCAGAUUUGCUUGCAAGGGGUCCAGUUAGAUACUCCUCCGUGAGACAAGAUCCAAAUCUGAAUCCGAUAUUGAUUCUUUUAUCAGAUUUGCUUGCCCAUACAUGCACACACACACUACAGAUGAGUGUUUGAUCUGAAAAUGCAGUUCGAACAUGUUGUGUUUUCUGAAUCAGACUGACUGGUUUCUUGAGUUGCUUAACACACACAUCAUUAGUCCCAGUACUUGUUACAGACACUGAAGAAAACUAUAUAUUUAGUCAAACUGUCUGUUCUGUUCAAACUAGCACUGUUGGCUCAAGUCCAAGUGACCAUGAUUGAGUUUUCUACACAUCCAUGUUUCAGACACUCAUGUCCAUAUCCAUGAAAGCAAAGUCAAUUCUGAGUUCCCCAACAUCAGCUGUAUCUUACUAGCCUACUAUAUAUAUAAUAUGAGAUCACUAGUAAAGUAAAUUAUUGUAUGCUUAGAUGAAUUGAUAGAUCAACUUCAGUGAACCUGGACUGCUCAGGGAAAUGAUCUCAGAUGCACUGUUUCAGCUGUUCUCCUGAUAGCACAUAGCCAUAUACCAAUAGGAACAUCUUCAGGGUGCAUAAUUACCAAAGGGAACAAAAUAAAUAAAUAAAGAAGAGUGAUGCCCUUGUGCAGAGGAGAAUCCAAUGGCUGUCGCUAGAAAAGAAAUACUUAUGGCAGGAUGCCAGUUUCCAGCCUGGAUCGUGCAGAACUGUUGGAUAUACUUGAUCGAUAGUAGUUAGCAAAAUGUUGCCAUCAGCAUUAUAUUAGGCACCGUGAUAGUUUGACUAAAGAUAGGGAGGUUGCUCAUGCUGGACUAUUAUAAUUAGAUAAGGCUCCCAGCUAGCUAGCAACUGAAAGUCCGCGCAAGAAACCUUAACGGCAGGUGUACUUUUUAGGAACUUUAUUAAUAGUGGUGACGAUUCUUGCAUGUUGAAGUUCUUUAAUGGUGCAGUUAAUCUAGAGACUGUAGAAAGUUUCAGUACAUUUGCUUGUAAUUGUGCUUGCAGCUUCUGUCGAAAACGAAACACCUGAUGACAAGAACCCCAUUCAAAAAAGA
This is a long non-coding RNA of Aegilops tauschii subsp. strangulata, 2814 nucleotides long. RefSeq lists it as uncharacterized. The record is from RefSeq and is a predicted model, not a curated record. NCBI's taxonomy places the organism in Eukaryota, Viridiplantae, Streptophyta, Magnoliopsida, Poales, Poaceae.